AUUGAACGCUGGCGGCAGGCCUAACACAUGCAAGUCGAGCGGAUGAAGGGAGCUUGCUCCUGGAUUCAGCGGCGGACGGGUGAGUAAUGCCUAGGAAUCUGCCUGGUAGUGGGGGAUAACGUCCGUAAACGGGCGCUAAUACCGCAUACGUCCUGAGGGUGAAAGUGGGGGAUCUUCGGACCUCACGCUAUCAGAUGAGCCUAGGUCGGAUUAGCUAGUUGGUGGGGUAAAGGCCUACCAAGGCGACGAUCCGUAACUGGUCUGAGAGGAUGAUCAGUCACACUGGAACUGAGACACGGUCCAGACUCCUACGGGAGGCAGCAGUGGGGAAUAUUGGACAAUGGGCGAAAGCCUGAUCCAGCCAUGCCGCGUGUGUGAAGAAGGUAUUCGGAUUGUAAAGCACUUUAAGUUGGGAGGAAGGGAAGUAAGUUAAUACCUUGCUGUUUUGACGUUACCAACAGAAUAAGCACCGGCUAACUUCGUG
Molecule: ribosomal RNA, 484 nt
Filed under: uncultured bacterium
Lineage: Bacteria
Description: partial 16S ribosomal RNA
Rfam family: Bacterial small subunit ribosomal RNA
Source: RNAcentral